Molecule: long non-coding RNA, 727 nt
Organism: Cyanistes caeruleus (blue tit)
Lineage: Eukaryota; Metazoa; Chordata; Aves; Passeriformes; Paridae
Source: RefSeq, a predicted model, not a curated record
AAUAGCAGUGCAAGUUCAGCUGAAUUUUGGGGUGUAUGACAAGGAAAAGAGAUACAAGAGACCUGACUGGUGAGUGGAGGGCAGAGGACACCAUGCUGGGCUCAGUGAGAUGCCAGCUGCAUGCAUGACAUGGGAGCAUCUUCCUGGAGUCUUCUUUGAGCCUUUAAAGACAGGAUUUAGUUUUGGACCACUGGUAGAGCAGCCAACAUCAGCGAGGGAAGGAUCCAGGCGUGAGGAAAACAUCAUUUAGGAUAAUUCCCAUUCUGAUGCUUCAUCUACCAAAGGCCACAAGAAAUUUUUACCCACAAAAAGCUGGAUGUUAUGCAUGAAAUGACUUUAAACCCCACUGUUUCACCUCCACUGCUGCCUCUCCCAUCAUCCCUUAACAUCAACAUGAAUAAAGUAACGUUAUCAGUGAUAACCUAUGCCCAGUAACCUCUUUACUUUUUAGUUAAUAGGAGAGCUGCUUUUCAGAGCAUGAGAGAAUUCAACAAGUUUUCUGCUGCAGGUGUUUCUACACAGGUCCGUGGUUGCUCUGGUUCAGGGUCCAACCAGCACCAGCCAAGGGCAGGGGCUCCUUUGUGAAGUAAAUAACCUUUCUAUCUCAGGGCACAGCAGAACAGGCUCUCCAGCACAGCCUCUUCCCUGCUCCAGCUGCAUCCCCACAAGGUCAGAGCUGGUACCUGGCAGAUCCAAACCCACAUGGAAGGCACAUUCCAAGAGGACA